This 305-nucleotide ribosomal RNA is filed under the name uncultured bacterium. RNAcentral describes it as "bacterial SSU rRNA". It matches the Rfam family "Bacterial small subunit ribosomal RNA", at positions 334 to 632 of the family's 1533-position model. The record is from RNAcentral.
CUGUCCUACGGGAGGCAGCAGUAGGGAAUUUUCGUCAAUGGGCGCAAGCCUGAACGAGCAAUGCCGCGUGAACGAGGAAGGUCUUCGGAUCGUAAAGUUCUGUUGAAGGGGAAAAAGAGCGGAGAGAGGAAAUGGUCUCCGAUUGAUAUUACCCUUCGAGGAAGUCACGGCUAACUACGUGCCAGCAGCCGCGGUAAUACGUAGGUGGCGAGCGUUAUCCGGAAUGAUUGGGCGUAAAGGGUGCGUAGGCGGUCGAUUAAGUCUGGAGUGAAAGGUACCGGCUCAACCGGUAUAGGCUCCGGAAA